This 2719-nucleotide long non-coding RNA is filed under the name Ananas comosus (pineapple). Its description in RNAcentral is "long non-coding RNA (ACOM_LNC034432)". Lineage: Eukaryota; Viridiplantae; Streptophyta; Magnoliopsida; Poales; Bromeliaceae. The record is from RNAcentral.
AUUUUCCUUUUUCCUCAUUAUUUUACAAGGGUUAAUUACACCAUUUAUUCCUUUGCGGUAUAUUUUUAAUUUGAUUUCCAUUUUCUUUUUUUUCUUUUUUUUCUUUUUUUUCUUUUUUUGCAAUCGAGUUCAAUCUUUUGAUUUCAUUUCAAUUAAUUCUCGACUAUUAGAGACACCGAGAUGCCGUGUCAACGUCAUGAAGGUGUUGUGUCAGCGCCAACAAAUUAUACAAUUUAAAUUUACAAGCUACUGCUAUUAUAUCAAUAGUAGCCAACUACUCUGUCAUGCCCGCCGUCCAUUCCCCAAAUAGGUGGAAGAAGCCCCGCACGGGUUCGUGCGCCAGACCUGCCGAAUUAACAGAGUUUUUCUUAUCCGUCCAAGGCACCAUAAUCGGUACAAUUCAAAACAUUCCAAAUAGGAAUAGAAUCCAUACACAGAUUGUAUAAGAAAAGCAUCAUAAACAUGAAUCAUCUAUGCUAUUACAAGCAUUCGUCUCAUUCAAAUUACAUAUUAUUUUUUCUUUCCAAAUACAAUCAAAUUAUUAUUACAAUUUCUCUCUCUCCUCUAUAUACCCUUUAAGCUAUACUGUUCAGGAUACAUCCUUCUUUGUUACAAUGGCAAGACGCUAACUAUUGAGUCACGUCCUUUCCUCAAGCCGCCGCCCCGCUCAUGUGUUGACCAACAAAAUAUGGGGGUGGGAACUAUAAAUAUAGUUUCCAAUUGGUACAGCCACCCAAGGGAAGAGCUCGCGACCUACCAUGUCCAAAUGAGACAAUUAUCAGGUUAGUAUACAACAAGUAACUAUAUAAGCAUAUAACUUUACUAUAUACAAAUAACAAAACAUUCAUACUUAGCUCAAGUAAAUGCGAUAAUAAAAUCAUACAUGUAAGUUAUUUUCUAUUUCUACUUACUAUUUCACUAUCCAUUUUAAUUCCAAUCCACUCCUAAUGUUUCUUUUACUUUAGCCGAGCUAUACCACCCAACUCAUUCUUGAGUCAAUCAUCAGCGGAAUACCACUAUUUGUCCAAGCCUGAGGAAGGGACACACCACAUGCACCUCAUCCUUCAAUCCACUCGACUUUAGGACAUCCAUCAGGCGAAUUUUAAAAUUUCUGAAAUAACUCUCUCCAAAUUAUAGUUGUAAAACUAACCCUCCUUUCAUCAUAUAAGCAGAGAAAAAUUUUUUGUUAUGAAGGCGGUGAAUCCGCCUUCCGCCUUCUCACCGUCAAUAUAAUUAGUAAAGACGGUGAAUGGUUCACCAUCUUUUACUCAUUUAAUAUUUUUUUCUAUAUCUCGUAUAUAAUCUUAACAACCAAAUAAAAAUUAUAACAAAUCACAUAUAAUUUUAGCAAUAUAAAAAUCCUAACAAUCUAUCCAUAUAAUCCUAACAAUCAAAUAAAAAUUCUAAUAAUUCAUAUAUAAUUCUAAAAAUCUCUUUUUUUUUUCCUAUCUUCUAUCUAACAACCUUAUAUUUUUCUGUACCUGUAUGUAGGUUGUAUGGAAAAUAGAAAAAAGUGAGGUUGUUAGAUGAAAAAUAAAAAAAAAUGAGGUCCUUAGGAUUAUACGUGGAUUAUAUGGAAAAGAGAAAGAGUUGAGAUUUUUCGUAUGAAAUCUUUAUUUGAUUGUUAGAAUUGUAUGGAUAAAUUAUUAGGAUUUUCAGAUUGUUAAGAUUAUAUAUGAUUUGUUGUAAUUUUUAUAUUAGAAUUGUAUGGAUAGAUUAUUAGGAUUUUCAUGUUGUUCAGAUUAUAUGUGAUUUAUUAUAAUUUUUAUGUGGUUGUUAAGAUUGUAUAUAGGAUAUAGAAAAAAUAUUAAAUAAGCAAAAUAUGGUGAACCAUUCACCGUCUUUGAUAAUUACAUUAGUACUGAAGGCGGUGAACGAUUCACUGCUUUUAUAAAAAAUUUAUUACUACUGAAAACGGUGAACGAUUUACCGCUUUCAUAAAAAAAUUUCACCUGUGUGCCUACGUGGCAAGAAGAGGGUUAGUUUUACAAAUAUUAUUUUGCAAGAGUCAUUUAGCCAAUUUUAAAGUUCUAGAGGGUUAGUUUAUAAAAAGGUCCAAUUUUUACACUGCUCGGAUCUUAUUUUCCUUUUUCCUCAUUAUUUUACAAGGGUUAAUUACACCAUUUAUUCCUUUGCGGUAUAUUUUUAAUUUGAUUUCCAUUUUCUUUUUUUUCUUUUUUUUCUUUUUUUUCUUUUUUUGCAAUCGAGUUCAAUCUUUUGAUUUCAUUAUAAUUAAUUCUCGACUAUUAGAGACACCGAGAUGCCGUGUCAACGUCAUGAAGGUGUUGUGUCAGCGCCAACAAAUUAUACAAUUUAAAUUUACAAGCUACUGCUAUUAUAUCAAUAGUAGCCAACUACUCUGUCAUGCCCGCCAUCCAUUCCCCAAAUAGGUGGAAGAAGCCCCGCACGGGUGCGUGCGCCAGACCUGCCGAAUUAACAGAGUUUUUCCUAUCCGUCCAAGGCACCAUAAUCGGUACAAUUCAAAACAUUCCAAAUAGGAAUAGAAUCCAUACACAGAUUGUAUAAGAAAAGCAUCAUAAACAUGAAUCAUCUAUGCUAUUACAAGCAUUUGUCUCAUUCAAAUUACAUAUUAUUUUUUCUUUCCAAAUACAAUCAAAUUAUUAUUACAAUUUCUCUCUUUCCUUUAUAUAUCCUUUAAGCUAUACUGUUCAGGAUACAUGUCACGCCCCGGGGCCGAUUUUAAAAGCCCUUUGAAAAC